AAUGAACGCUGGCGGCGUGCUUAACACAUGCAAGUCGAGCGCGAAGGCGGCUUCGGCCGCUGGAGAGCGGCGAACGGGUGAGUAACACGUGGGUGAUCUGCCUGGGAGCGGGGGAUAACCUGGGGAAACUCGGGCUAAUACCGCAUACGUUGGUUAGGCUGCGGCCUUGCCAAGAAAGCUGGCCUCUGCUUGCAAGCUAGCGCUCCCAGAGGAGCCCGCGGCUGAUUAGCUGGUUGGUAGGGUAACGGCCUACCAAGGCGACGAUCAGUAGCCGGCCUGAGAGGGUGAUCGGCCACACUGGGACUGAGACACGGCCCAGACUCCUACGGGAGGCAGCAGUGGGGAAUAUUGGACAAUGGGGGAAACCCUGAUCCAGCAACGCUGCGUGGAGGACGAAGGUCUUCGGAUCGUAAACUCCUGUCAGGCGGGACGAAGGCUGCGGGGCAAAUAGCCUUGCAGCUUGACGGUACUGCCAGAGGAAGCCCCGGCUAACUCCG
This 497-nucleotide ribosomal RNA is filed under the name uncultured bacterium. Its description in RNAcentral is "bacterial SSU rRNA". It matches the Rfam family "Bacterial small subunit ribosomal RNA", at positions 28 to 505 of the family's 1533-position model. The record is from RNAcentral.